UACAGAGGUCUCAAGCGUUGUUCGGAUUCAUUGGGCGUAAAGGGUGCGUAGGUGGCGCCAUAAGUCGGGUGUGAAAUCUCGGGGCUUAACUCCGAAACUGCAUUCGAUACUGUGGUGCUUGAGGACUGGAGAGGAGACUGGAAUUCAUGGUGUAGCAGUGAAAUGCGUAGAUAUCCGGAGGAACACCGGUGGCGAAGGCGGCUUCCUGGACCGACACUGACGCUGAGGCGCGAAAGCUAGGGGAGCAAACGGG
This 253-nucleotide ribosomal RNA is filed under the name uncultured bacterium. RNAcentral describes it as "partial 16S ribosomal RNA". It matches the Rfam family "Bacterial small subunit ribosomal RNA", at positions 524 to 776 of the family's 1533-position model. The record is from RNAcentral.